UACGGGGGGGGUAAGCGUUGUUCGGAAUUACUGGGCGUAAAGGGCUCGUAGGCGGCCAACUAAGUCAGACGUGAAAUCCCUCAGCUUAACUGGGGAACUGCGUCUGAUACUGGAUGGCUUGGAUCCGGGAGAGGGAUGCGGAAUUCCAGGUGUAGCGGUGAAAUGCGUAGAUAUCAAGAGGAACACCUGCGGCGAAGGCGGGUUGCUGGGCCGACACUGACGCUGAGGCGCGAAAGCUAGGGGAGCGAACGGG
Molecule: ribosomal RNA, 253 nt
Filed under: uncultured bacterium
Lineage: Bacteria
Description: partial 16S ribosomal RNA
Rfam family: Bacterial small subunit ribosomal RNA
Source: RNAcentral